UCAGUGAUUCUCGAUCUUUCUUGAAGCGCAAUUCAAAUUUCCCCCGAAAAUCUAUCACGAUCUUCAAAAACUAUCAACAUAAUCCUAACCUAACAAAAUUUGUUUAUUACUUUAUAGGUUUAUAAUUAAUAUAAUUUUACAAAUGUACUUUUAAUAAUGAGGUGUAUGCAAAGUGUGCGUUUGUUUUCUGCUAUGGUUGAUAAUAGCACAAACGUCGACGUCAAUGUUUGUUUUUGAUGCCUGAUAGGCCGAAAAUCUAAUUUCACACACGUAUUAAAAUAAGAAUAGAAGUAGUAUUUUUAUAGCUUCUGCUGAAAGAAUUGGAGAUGUUUGUUUAGAUGACAGCCAAAACAGAAUCAAAUAAUUGCUGCUAAAUUUAAGUUUUAAAGAUGAAUCUUCUAAUAAAUCAAUGAGUUUUUCAUCGGCUUUUGUUGAUAUCCCAGUCGAUAUAGCGUUCUGAAACGGAUUCAUAAUUCAGUUAUGUUAUUUGAAUACGUGCCCGAAGGCAUAAGUACAGUUAAUUAAUGAUUAAUAAAUUAGUACAUUAGAUACUUAAACGUACGAUAAUUACAUUAAUGAUGAGUAAACAGAAUGAGAUUGAACAACAAAAGAAUAAAUAUAACAUUUUAAACAAAAUAUACAAUAAACUAUAAAAAACAACAUAUUAUAAAUUAUUAAAACAUUUAAGUACCGUCGUAAUUUCGUCUGAGAGGAAUGAAAAUGUUUAUGCUAUAUUUUAGAUUAUUACAAGAGACCCGUGCUCUAUUGAUAGGUAAAAAAUAGCCGUAAAGUGUCCUGUGUUUUGAUAUAAAAAAUGUUGGUCGGGUUCUGGAAUUGAAUGAUGGAACUGAUUUAUCAAUUAAGCCAAGGAGGAAACUGUCACUGAUUGAACCAUGUAUGUUAUAAAUAAACAUCACGUCUAAGUAUGUCUCGAACUCAAUGUGUUUAUAUUUAACGAACAUCUAAGAGGUUCGUAGUUGUGGUUAAUCAUUGUAUAACUAUUAGAAAGUUCUAAAGUACAAACCUUAGAAAUUUAUUUCGGACACGUUCAAUUUUAUUAUUCCAGCACAGCUGAUAUGGAUUCCAUUAGAUGGAGCCAUAUUCCAUAGUUGAUUUUUGAAUGCAGGACCUAACUACGAUGUGCCGAAAUUAUUAAAACAAUGUACGUCGUGUGUUCCCAUGACAACAACAAUUGUUUAAAAAAUAUUAAAAUAAUAAUAACAAAAAAUAAAUAAAAAUAGUUAUCAAUGACAACCUUAUUAUUAAUUUUUCAAUCUUUUAACCUAAAAAUUGAGGUUUUUUUAAUUAUUUCGAAUAAUAAUGAGAGUUUAAAAAAAUUACCUACUUAAAGUACCACGUCAGUCAAAUUUUCUUCAAAAAAAAGUGCUAUAAUUGAAAAUAGGAGUAAAAUUUCUGGUAGAAAAAUUAUUCACAAAUAAAAAAAAAAAAAAAAAAACAUGAUUGCAAAAACCUAUACAUUCCUUGCUCCACUCAGAAUUUAAAAACAUAAAUUUCUUGGAAUCUAUAUAGUUCAAAACAAUUUUCACAACAUACAAAAAAUUGACUCGGGACUCACUUGCAGUGGGUCGUAACCCACAGUUUAAAAUUCUCUGAUUUAAAUGUUUGUGAUGAUUGAUACCAUCUAGUAAAUGAAUUAAUGUAGAUGAAUAAUCAUAUGCAAUAUCAAAUUAAAAAAUUGUACUGCUAACGAAUAAAAUUCAAAUGAGUGGCCAUAGAUUGUGAGUGGUGACUUAUUACUCAUCCCUAUAUUAUUAAAAAAGUAAAAUUAUUACCGUUUUCCGCUCAGAAUCAUUUUUUAUUAGUAUUGAUUAGGUAUAAACUUAAUUCCUCACUAUAUCCAACCUUUCCAAAUUUCCACCUAAAACCUAGGUUAACUCGUCUUUUUAGAUGCUGAGUGUAGCAUUCCACCAUGAUAUUUAUUUUAUUUUUCUAUUUUUUACACUGUGACAAAAAUUUCUACCAGAAAUCUUGCUUUAAUAUGUGCGUGUGGCACCAUUUCUGAAAGAAAAUAUUGUCUCUAUAAAA
This is a non-coding RNA of Cinara cedri, 2046 nucleotides long. The record is from the annotation of a GenBank genome assembly. Lineage: Eukaryota; Metazoa; Arthropoda; Insecta; Hemiptera; Aphididae.